ACCGGCAAGCUUCAGCCCCCCUGAAGUAACCGCCAUCGUGACGGCGUCGCUCGAAGGGAUGCUCACGGAUCGUGGUGGUGAUGGUGUUGCACAUGGCCAUUGUGAACCCACCGAGACUUUUCCCCCGUCAUAGGAAUGUGGAAUUUCCACCACUGGCUCGGGGAUAUCGGCCUCGUGUAAACGAGCUGGGUGCAUCGUAACAGGCGGCGGCGGCUUAGGCCUUCAUCCAACAGUGGAUAAAGCCUGGCCGGUGAUUACGAUGGCGGUGCCUAGCGGAGGCCUUCAUCCAGCAGUGGAUAGACCACGGCCGGUGAUUACGAUGGCGGUGCCUAGCGGAGGCCUUCAUCCAGCAGUGGAUAGACCACGGCCGGUGAUGAUGGCGCCACCACCGUGGGCGAUGGACCCCCGGUCCCUGCUGCACGGGGGCUACCACCACACCGUGCUGCGGCGCUGGCAGGGGAAUGGCGCCGCCUUCAGCGCCGACAACCUCGUCUACCCACUCUUCAUCACGUAAGACAACCUCGUCUACCCACUCUUCAUCACGUAAGACAACCUCGUCUACCCACUCUUCAUCACGUAAGACAACCUCGUCUACCCACUCUUCAUCACGUAAGACAACCUCGUCUACCCACUCUUCAUCACGUAAGACAACCUCGUCUACCCACUCUUCAUCACGUAAGACAACCUCGUCUACCCACUCUUCAUCACGUAAGACAACCUCGUCUACCCACUCUUCAUCACGUAAGACAACCUCGUCUACCCACUCUUCAUCACGUAAGACAACCUCGUCUACCCACUCUUCAUCACGUAAGACAACCUCGUCUACCCACUCUUCAUCACGUAAGACAACCUCGUCUACCCACUCUUCAUCACGUAAGACAACCUCGUCUACCCACUCUUCAUCACGUAAGACAACCUCGUCUACCCACUCUUCAUCACGUAAGACUACCUCGUCUACCCACUCUUCAUCACGUAAGACUACCUCGUCUACCCACUCUUCAUCACGUAAGACAACCUCGUCUACCCACUCUUCAUCACGUAAGACUACCUCGUCUACCCACUCUUCAUCACGUAAGACAACCUCGUCUACCCACUCUUCAUCACGUAAGACUACCUCGUCUACCCACUCUUCAUCACGUAAGACUACCUCGUCUACCCACUCUUCAUCACGUAAGACAACCUCGUCUACCCACUCUUCAUCACGUAAGACAACCUCGUCUACCCACUCUUCAUCACGUAAGACAACCUCGUCUACCCACUCUUCAUCACGUAAGACAACCUCGUCUACCCACUCUUCAUCACGUAAGACAACCUCGUCUACCCACUCUUCAUCACGUAAGACAACCUCGUCUUCCCGCUCUUCAUCACGUAAGACAACCUCGUCUACCCACUCUUCAUCACGUAACACAACCUCGUCUAUCCACUCUUCAUCACGUAAGACAACCUCGUCUACCCACUCUUCAUCACGUAAGACAACCUCGUCUACCCACUCUUCAUCACGUAAGACAACCUCGUCUACCCACUCUUCAUCACGUAAGACAACCUCGUCUACCCACUCUUCAUCACGUAAGACAACCUCGUCUUCCCGCUCUUCAUCACGUAAGACAACCUCGUCUACCCACUCUUCAUCACGUAACACAACCUCGUCUAUCCACUCUUCAUCACGUAAGACAACCUCGUCUACCCGCUCUUCAUCACGUAAGACAACCUCGUCUACCCACUCUUCAUCACGUAAGACAACCUCGUCUACCCACUCUUCAUCACGUAAGACAACCUCGUCUACCCACUCUUCAUCACGUAACACAACCUUGUCUAUCCACUCUUCAUCACGUAAGACAACCUCGUCUACCCACUCUUCAUCACGUAACACAACCUCGUCUACCCGAUCUUCAUCACGUAAGACAACCUCGUCUAUCCACUCUUCGUUAUGUAAGACAACCUCGUCUACCCACUCUUCAUCACGUAACACAACCUCGUCUAUCCACUCUUCAUCACAUAACACAACCUCGUCUACCCGCUCUUCAUCACGUAAGACAACCUCGUCUACCCGAUCUUCAUCACGUAAGACAACCUCGUCUACCCACUCUUCAUCACGUAACACAACCUCGUCUAUCCACUCUUCAUCACGUAACACAACCUCGUCUACCCGCUCUUCAUCACGUAAGACAACCUCGUCUACCCACUCUUCAUCACGUAAGACAACCUCGUCUAUCCACUCUUCAUCACGUAACACAACCUCGUCUACCCACUCUUCAUCACGUAAGACAACCUCGUCUAUCCACUCUUCAUCACGUAACACAACCUCAUCUACCCGAUCUUCAUCACGUAAGACAACCUCGUCUACCCACUCUUCAUCACGGAUGAUGCUGAUGGGCUUGAGCCCAUUCCAAGUUUACCUGGGCUGGCCAGGUAUGGAGUGAACAGGCUGGGGCCUGUGCUGGAACCCCUCAUCAAGAACGGCCUCAAGGCCGUGCUGAUAUUCGGUGUCCCUGCCAAGCUCCCCAAGGAUGACAGAGGCUCCAGCGCCGACUGCCCCACCUGCCCGGCCAUCCUCGCCG
Petromyzon marinus (sea lamprey) is the source of this 2558-nucleotide non-coding RNA. Lineage: Eukaryota; Metazoa; Chordata; Hyperoartia; Petromyzontiformes; Petromyzontidae. The record is from RefSeq and is a predicted model, not a curated record.